Long non-coding RNA from Rhagoletis zephyria (snowberry fruit fly), 344 nucleotides. RefSeq lists it as uncharacterized. Lineage: Eukaryota; Metazoa; Arthropoda; Insecta; Diptera; Tephritidae. The record is from RefSeq and is a predicted model, not a curated record.
UACACAGAGAAAAUGAUGCAGAAUUUAAAAAGCUACCCAGCUACAAUGAAAAACUUUCAUAUGUUUGCAUCAUUUGUCGGAAAAAUUGUGUUCAGAUAAAUAAGUUACUUCAAUCUUCAGAAAAGGCGAUGAAGUAUAUAGAAACAAUACUGCCAUUCUAACCCCUAACUGCAUAUAGGGGACAUUGGUGGACUUCUUUGACCGCAAAAAGCUUUGGAUUUGACCAGCAUGAAGCAAAAUUAGCAGGCCCAGCUUGGAAGUAAGGCAUGAACAUCUGAAUGUAUGUAUAUAGUGAUAUGUAAAACAUCUGUAUUUCAUUUAUUAAAUGUUGUAACUUAUUUAUA